RNAcentral lists this ribosomal RNA (241 nucleotides) under uncultured bacterium. RNAcentral's name for it is "partial 16S ribosomal RNA". It matches the Rfam family "Bacterial small subunit ribosomal RNA", at positions 116 to 353 of the family's 1533-position model. The record is from RNAcentral.
CGUGGGUAACCUGCCUUAUAGUGGGGGAUAGCCUUUCGAAAGGAAGAUUAAUACCGCAUAAGAUUGUAGUAUCGCAUGAUAUAGCAAUUAAAGGAGCAAUUCGCUAUAAGAUGGACCCGCGUCGCAUUAGCUAGUUGGUGAGGUAAUGGCUCACCAGGGCGACGAUGCGUAGCCGACCUGAGAGGGUGAUCGGCCACAUUGGGACUGAGACACGGCCCAGACUCCUACGGGAGGCAGCAUG